UUCUGGCCGCAUACGUCUACC
RNAcentral lists this non-coding RNA (21 nucleotides) under Caenorhabditis elegans. Lineage: Eukaryota; Metazoa; Nematoda; Chromadorea; Rhabditida; Rhabditidae. The record is from RNAcentral.